AGCACACAAUUGUCUAUGGAGAUGAUGAGG
Molecule: non-coding RNA, 30 nt
Filed under: Mus musculus (house mouse)
Lineage: Eukaryota; Metazoa; Chordata; Mammalia; Rodentia; Muridae
Source: RNAcentral